AUAAUGGGUCAGCGACUUAUAUUCUGUAGCAAGGUUAACCGAAUAGGGGAGCCGAAGGGAAACCGAGUCUUAACUGGGCGUUAAGUUGCAGGGUAUAGACCCGAAACCCGGUGAUCUAGCCAUGGGCAGGUUGAAGGUUGGGUAACACUAACUGGAGGACCGAACCGACUAAUGUUGAAAAAUUAGCGGAUGACUUGUGGCUGGGGGUGAAAGGCCAAUCAAACCGGGAGAUAGCUGGUUCUCCCCGAAAGCUAUUUAGGUAGCGCCUCGUGAAUUCAUCUCCGGGGGUAGAGCACUGUUUCGGCAAGGGGGUCAUCCCGACUUACCAACCCGAUGCAAACUGCGAAUACCGGAGAAUGUUAUCACGGGAGACACACGGCGGGUGCUAACGUCCGUCGUGAAGAGGGAAACAACCCAGACCGCCAGCUAAGGUCCCAAAGUCAUGGUUAAGUGGGAAACGAUGUGGGAAGGCCCAGACAGCCAGGAUGUUGGCUUAGAAGCAGCCAUCAUUUAAAGAAAGCGUAAUAGCUCACUGGUCGAGUCGGCCUGCGCGGAAGAUGUAACGGGGCUAAACCAUGCACCGAAGCUGCGGCAGCGACGCUGAUGCGUUGUUGGGUAGGGGAGCGUUCUGUAAGCCUGUGAAGGUGUGCUGUGAGGCAUGCUGGAGGUAUCAGAAGUGCGAAUGCUGACAUAAGUAACGAUAAAGCGGGUGAAAAGCCCGCUCGCCGGAAGACCAAGGGUUCCUGUCCAACGUUAAUCGGGGCAGGGUGAGUCGACCCCUAAGGCGAGGCCGAAAGGCGUAGUCGAUGGGAAACAGGUUAAUAUUCCUGUACUUGGUGUUACUGCGAAGGGGGGACGGAGAAGGCUAUGUUGGCCGGGCGACGGUUGUCCCGGUUUAAGCGUGUAGGCUGGUUUUCCAGGCAAAUCCGGAAAAUCAAGGCUGAGGCGUGAUGACGAGGCACUACGGUGCUGAAGCAACAAAUGCCCUGCUUCCAGGAAAAGCCUCUAAGCAUCAGGUAACAUCAAAUCGUACCCCAAACCGACACAGGUGGUCAGGUAGAGAAUACCAAGGCGCUUGAGAGAACUCGGGUGAAGGAACUAGGCAAAAUGGUGCCGUAACUUCGGGAGAAGGCACGCUGAUAUGUAGGUGAAGUCCCUCGCGGAUGGAGCUGAAAUCAGUCGAAGAUACCAGCUGGCUGCAACUGUUUAUUAAAAACACAGCACUGUGCAAACACGAAAGUGGACGUAUACGGUGUGACGCCUGCCCGGUGCCGGAAGGUUAAUUGAUGGGGUCAGCGCAAGCGAAGCUCUUGAUCGAAGCCCCGGUAAACGGCGGCCGUAACUAUAACGGUCCUAAGGUAGCGAAAUUCCUUGUCGGGUAAGUUCCGACCUGCACGAAUGGCGUAAUGAUGGCCAGGCUGUCUCCACCCGAGACUCAGUGAAAUUGAACUCGCUGUGAAGAUGCAGUGUACCCGCGGCAAGACGGAAAGACCCCGUGAACCUUUACUAUAGCUUGACACUGAACAUUGAGCCUUGAUGUGUAGGAUAGGUGGGAGGCUUUGAAGUGUGGACGCCAGUCUGCAUGGAGCCGGCCUUGAAAUACCACCCUUUAAUGUUUGAUGUUCUAACGUUGACCCGUGAUCCGGGUUGCGGACAGUGUCUGGUGGGUAGUUUGACUGGGGCGGUCUCCUCCUAAAGAGUAACGGAGGAGCACGAAGGUUGGCUAAUCCUGGUCGGACAUCAGGAGGUUAGUGCAAUGGCAUAAGCCAGCUUGACUGCGAGCGUGACGGCGCGAGCAGGUGCGAAAGCAGGUCAUAGUGAUCCGGUGGUUCUGAAUGGAAGGGCCAUCGCUCAACGGAUAAAAGGUACUCCGGGGAUAACAGGCUGAUACCGCCCAAGAGUUCAUAUCGACGGCGGUGUUUGGCACCUCGAUGUCGGCUCAUCACAUCCUGGGGCUGAAGUAGGUCCCAAGGGUAUGGCUGUUCGCCAUUUAAAGUGGUACGCGAGCUGGGUUUAGAACGUCGUGAGACAGUUCGGUCCCUAUCUGCCGUGGGCGCUGGAGAACUGAGGGGGGCU
This 2076-nucleotide ribosomal RNA is filed under the name Escherichia coli. Its description in RNAcentral is "partial 23S ribosomal RNA". It matches the Rfam family "Bacterial large subunit ribosomal RNA", at positions 612 to 2673 of the family's 2925-position model. Lineage: Bacteria; Pseudomonadati; Pseudomonadota; Gammaproteobacteria; Enterobacterales; Enterobacteriaceae. The record is from RNAcentral.